GGGGAAUUUUGGACAACGGGGGCAACCCUGAUCCAGCCAUGCCGCGUGAGUGAAGAAGGCCUUCGGGUUGUAAAGCUCUUUCGGACGGAAAGAAAUCGCCGCCUCUAACAUAGGCGGUGGAUGACGGUACCGUAAGAAGAAGCACCGGCUAACUACGUGCCAGCAGCCGCGGUAAUACGUAGGGUGCGAGCGUUAAUCGGAAUUACUGGGCGUAAAGCGUGCGCAGGCGGUUUGGUAAGACAGGUGUGAAAUCCCCGGGCUUAACCUGGGAACUGCGCUUGUGACUGGAAAGCUGGAGUGCGGCAGAGGGGGAUGGAAUUCCGCGUGUAGCAGUGAAAUGCGUAGAUAUGCGGAGGAACACCGAUGGCGAAGGCAAUCCCCUGGGCCUGCACUGACGCUCAUGCACGAAAGCGUGGGGAGCAAACA
RNAcentral lists this ribosomal RNA (426 nucleotides) under uncultured beta proteobacterium. RNAcentral describes it as "bacterial SSU rRNA". It matches the Rfam family "Bacterial small subunit ribosomal RNA", at positions 356 to 774 of the family's 1533-position model. Lineage: Bacteria; Pseudomonadati; Pseudomonadota; Betaproteobacteria. The record is from RNAcentral.